AGCGAACGUUAGCGGCGCGCUUAACACAUGCAAGUCGCACGAGAAAGGGCUUCGGCCCCGGUAAAGUGGCGCACGGGUGCGUAACACGUAGGCAAUCUUCCCUUGAGCGGGGGAUAACGUUUCGAAAGAGACGCUAAUACCGCAUAAGACCACGACCGGUUCGCCGGUUGCGGUCAAAGCUGGCCUCUUCAUGAAAGCUAGCACUCGAGGACGAGCCUGCGGCCCAUCAUGCUAGUUGGUAGGGUAACGGCCUACCAAGGCGAAGACGGGUAGCUGGUCUGAGAGGAUGAUCAGCCACACUGGAACUGAAACACGGUCCAGACUCCUACGGGAGGCAGCAGUGGGGAAUAUUGGACAAUGGGCGAAAGCCUGAUCCAGCGACGCCGCGUGAGUGAUGAAGGCCUUCGGGUUGUAAAGCUCUGUUGAGGGAGAAGAAAACAGUUAGGACGAAUAGGCCUAGCUCUUGACGGUAUCCCUUUAGAAAGCACCGGCUAACUCUGUGCCAGCAGCCGCGGUAAGACAGAGGGUGCAAACGUUGCUCGGAAUUACUGGGCGUAAAGCGCGUGUAGGCGGACCUGUAAGUUGGACGUGAAAGCCCUGGGCUCAACCCAGGAAUUGCAUCCAAAACUACAGGCCUAGAGUGAUGGAGAGGGCAGCAGAAUUCCUGGUGUAGAGGUGAAAUUCGUAGAUAUCAGGAGGAACACCGGUGGCGAAGGCGGCUGCCUGGACAUCAACUGACGCUGAGACGCGAAAGCGUGGGAGCAAACAGGAUUAGAUACCCUGG
This 784-nucleotide ribosomal RNA is filed under the name uncultured Myxococcales bacterium. RNAcentral describes it as "bacterial SSU rRNA". It matches the Rfam family "Bacterial small subunit ribosomal RNA", at positions 28 to 790 of the family's 1533-position model. The record is from RNAcentral. Lineage: Bacteria; Pseudomonadati; Myxococcota; Myxococcia; Myxococcales.